This 113-nucleotide ribosomal RNA is filed under the name Acanthosepion pharaonis. The record is from RNAcentral. Lineage: Eukaryota; Metazoa; Mollusca; Cephalopoda; Sepiida; Sepiidae.
UUACGGUCACAUCAUGUUGAAACAUCAGUUCUCUUACGAUCACCGAAGGUAAGCAACGACGAACCUGGUCAGUACAUAGAUGGGUGACCGCUUGGGAAUACCAAGUUCCGUAA